GACGAACGCUUGCGACGUGCCUAAGAAAUGCAAGUCGAACGGGGUAGCAAUACCUAGUGGCGAACGGUCGCGUAACACGUGGGCAACCUGCCCUGAAGCGGGGGACGAACAAGUCGAAGAAUUUGUCUAAUACCGCAUGUGUCUCGCUGCGGCAUCGCAGAGGGGACGAAAGCCGCAAGGCACUUCAGGAUGGGCCCGGCGGCCUAUCAGCUUGUUGGUGAGGUAACGGCCCACCAAGGCUUCGACGGGUAGCUGGUCUGAGAGGACGAUCAGCC
This 275-nucleotide ribosomal RNA is filed under the name uncultured bacterium. Its description in RNAcentral is "partial 16S ribosomal RNA". It matches the Rfam family "Bacterial small subunit ribosomal RNA", at positions 28 to 309 of the family's 1533-position model. The record is from RNAcentral.